CAGUAGGGAAUAUUGCAAAAUGGGCGCAAGCCCGAUGCAGCAACGCCGCGUGGGCGAUGAAGGCCUUCGGGUCGUAAAGCCCUUUUUGAGGGGAUGAGGAAGGACAGUACCCUCAGAAUAAGCCUCGGCUAACUACGUGCCAGCAGCCGCGGUAAAACGUAGGAGGCGAGCGUUAUCCGGAUUUACUGGGCGUAAAGCGCGUGCAGGCGGAUUGGAGAGUUGGAUGUGAAAGCUCCCGGCUUAACUGGGAGAGGUCGUUCAAUACUUCCAGUCUUGAGUGCAGUAGAGGGAAGUGGAAUUCCGGGUGUAGUGGUGAAAUGCGUAGAUAUCCGGAGGAACACCAGUGGCGAAAGCGGCUUCCUGGACUGUAACUGACGCUCAGACGCGAAAGCUAGGGUAGCAAACGGGAU
RNAcentral lists this ribosomal RNA (410 nucleotides) under uncultured Ornatilinea sp. Its description in RNAcentral is "bacterial SSU rRNA". It matches the Rfam family "Bacterial small subunit ribosomal RNA", at positions 352 to 778 of the family's 1533-position model. The record is from RNAcentral. Lineage: Bacteria; Bacillati; Chloroflexota; Anaerolineae; Anaerolineales; Anaerolineaceae.